UACAGGGGAUGCAAGUGUUAUCCGGAAUUAUUGGGCGUAAAGCGUCUGCAGGUGGAUUUUUAAGUCUUUUGUUAAAUCUCUGGGCUUAACCUAGAAUAUGCAAAGGAAACUAUUUGUCUUGAGUAUGGUAGAGGUAAAGGGAAUUUCCAGUGGAGCGGUGAAAUGCUUAGAUAUUGGAAAGAACACCAACAGCGAAGGCACUUUACUGGGCCAGUACUGACACUCAGAGACGAAAGCUAGGGGAGCAAACGGG
RNAcentral lists this ribosomal RNA (253 nucleotides) under uncultured bacterium. Its description in RNAcentral is "partial 16S ribosomal RNA". It matches the Rfam family "Bacterial small subunit ribosomal RNA", at positions 524 to 776 of the family's 1533-position model. The record is from RNAcentral.